RNAcentral lists this non-coding RNA (194 nucleotides) under Rhizobium leguminosarum. RNAcentral describes it as "Group I catalytic intron". It matches the Rfam family "Group I catalytic intron". From Rfam's summary of the family: Group I catalytic introns are large self-splicing ribozymes. They catalyse their own excision from mRNA, tRNA and rRNA precursors in a wide range of organisms. Lineage: Bacteria; Pseudomonadati; Pseudomonadota; Alphaproteobacteria; Hyphomicrobiales; Rhizobiaceae. The record is from RNAcentral.
CAAGGGACUUAAACCAAAAUUGAGUGCACUGGCGGAAACGCCUGAUGUAGAACUGCUCAAAGUCGGGGAAACCUGUCAGAUGGCAAUCCCGAGCCAAGCCCCGCAAGGGGAAGGUGUAGAGACUAGACGGGCAGCACCUAAGGUAGACGCUAGGGUGAAGGUAUAGUCCAGACCACAAACGCCGGAAGGCGGCG